This 253-nucleotide ribosomal RNA is filed under the name Pseudomonas sp. Its description in RNAcentral is "partial 16S ribosomal RNA". It matches the Rfam family "Bacterial small subunit ribosomal RNA", at positions 524 to 776 of the family's 1533-position model. The record is from RNAcentral. RNAcentral also lists the same sequence under 1 other name. Lineage: Bacteria; Pseudomonadati; Pseudomonadota; Gammaproteobacteria; Pseudomonadales; Pseudomonadaceae.
UACGAAGGGUGCAAGCGUUAAUCGGAAUUACUGGGCGUAAAGCGCGCGUAGGUGGUUCAGCAAGUUGGAUGUGAAAGCCCCGGGCUCAACCUGGGAAUUGCAUCCAAAACUACUGAGCUAGAGUACGGUAGAGGGUGGUGGAAUUUCCUGUGUAGCGGUGAAAUGCGUAGAUAUAGGAAGGAACACCAGUGGCGAAGGCGACCACCUGGACUGAUACUGACACUGAGGUGCGAAAGCGUGGGGAGCAAACAGG